This 497-nucleotide ribosomal RNA is filed under the name uncultured bacterium. Its description in RNAcentral is "partial 16S ribosomal RNA". It matches the Rfam family "Bacterial small subunit ribosomal RNA", at positions 28 to 507 of the family's 1533-position model. The record is from RNAcentral.
GAUGAACGCUGGCGGCGUGCCUAAUACAUGCAAGUCGAGCGAACAGACGAGGAGCUUGCUCCUCUGAUGUUAGCGGCGGACGGGUGAGUAACACGUGGAUAACCUACCUAUAAGACUGGGAUAACUUCGGGAAACCGGAGCUAAUACCGGAUAACAUGUUGAACCGCAUGGUUCAACAGUGAAAGACGGUCUUGCUGUCACUUAUAGAUGGAUCCGCGCCGAAUUAGCUAGUUGGUAAGGUAACGGCUUACCAAGGCAACGAUGCGUAGCCGACCUGAGAGGGUGAUCGGCCACACUGGAACUGAGACACGGUCCAGACUCCUACGGGAGGCAGCAGUAGGGAAUCUUCCGAAAUGGGCGAAAGCCUGACGGAGCAACGCCGCGUGAGUGAAGAAGGUCUUCGGAUCGUAAAACUCUGUUAUUAGGGAAGAACAAAUGUGUAAGUAACUAUGCACGUCUUGACGGUACCUAAUCAGAAAGCCACGGCUAACUACGUG